Molecule: ribosomal RNA, 432 nt
Filed under: uncultured bacterium
Lineage: Bacteria
Description: partial 16S ribosomal RNA
Rfam family: Bacterial small subunit ribosomal RNA
Source: RNAcentral
AACGAACGCUGGCGGCAGGCCUAACACAUGCAAGUCGAGCGAGGACUUCGGUCCUAGCGGCGGACGGGUGAGUAACGCGUGGGAACGUGCCCUUUGCUUCGGAAUAGCCCUGGGAAACUGGGAGUAAUACCGGAUGAGCCCUUUGGGGGAAAGAUUUAUCGGCGAAGGAUCGGCCCGCGUUGGAUUAGGUAGUUGGUGGGGUAAUGGCCUACCAAGCCGACGAUCCAUAGCUGGUUUGAGAGGAUGAUCAGCCACACUGGGACUGAGACACGGCCCAGACCCCUACGGGGGGCAGCAGUGGGGAAUCUUAGAAAAGGGGGGAAACCCGGAUCUAGCCUGGCCGCGUGAGCGAUGAAGGCUUUAGGGUUGUAAAGCUUUUUCAGCGGGGAAAAUAAGGGCGGAACCAGAAAAAGAAGCCCGGGCAAACUCCGG